This 449-nucleotide ribosomal RNA is filed under the name uncultured bacterium. Its description in RNAcentral is "bacterial SSU rRNA". It matches the Rfam family "Bacterial small subunit ribosomal RNA", at positions 355 to 796 of the family's 1533-position model. The record is from RNAcentral.
UCGAGAAUCUUUCGCAAUGGGCGCAAGCCUGACGAAGCGACGCCGUGUGUAUGAUGAAGGCCCUCGGGUUGUAAAGUACUUUCGCUUGGGAGCAAGAAAGGUUGGCUAAUAUCCAACCAAUUUGACUGUACCAGGUAAAGAAGCACCGGCUAACUCCGUGCCAGCAGCUGCGGUAAUACGGAGGGUGCAAGCGUUAAUCGGAUUUAUUGGGCGUAAAGGGCGCGUAGGCGGGGAGGCAAGUUAGAUGUGAAAUCCUGGGGCUCAACUCCAGACCCGCAUCUAAUACUGCUUUUCUAGAGGAUGGAUGGAGAAAAGGGAAUUCCACGUGUAGCGGUGAAAUGCGUAGAUAUGUGGAAGAACACCGGUGGCGAAGGCGCUUUUCUAAUUCAUUCCUGACGCUGAAGCGCGAAAGCAAGGGGAGCAAACAGGAUUAGAUACCCCCGUAGUCC